UACGUAGGGUCCGAGCGUUGUCCGGAAUUAUUGGGCGUAAAGGGCUCGUAGGCGGCCAACUAAGUCGGAUGUGAAAUCCCCAGGCUUAACCUGGGAACUGCAUCCGAUACUGGAUGGCUUGAAUCCGGGAGAGGGAUGCAGAAUUCCAGGUGUAGCGGUGAAAUGCGUAGAUAUCUGGAGGAACACCGGUGGCGAAGGCGGCAUUCUGGACCGAUAUUGACGCUGAGGAGCGAAAGCCAGGGGAGCAAACGGG
RNAcentral lists this ribosomal RNA (253 nucleotides) under uncultured bacterium. Its description in RNAcentral is "partial 16S ribosomal RNA". It matches the Rfam family "Bacterial small subunit ribosomal RNA", at positions 524 to 776 of the family's 1533-position model. The record is from RNAcentral.